CUAGACCUAUAAAAAACAAAGUGAUGGGAAAGAAAAUAGUCACAGCAUGUUAUUGAUGUCUAAUGUUUCUGAGUGUUUUAGAGUCUGUAGACUCUUGCACAUAGUGGCUGGAAAAUACAAUAUGGAUGCAUAAAUUUAAAUCAAUACAUCUCUGAAAGCCCCAGCCCCACUUCUGCUUCUUAAAUUCUUUUUAUAGGUCUCGAUGCCUAGAGUCAGCAGCAGCAGCAGCGUGGCUUUUACAUUUUUCGGUUAGAGUUCCUUUUAACUUAAUUAAAGCUUUAAUAGAAGUUUUAUUUCCCUUAGAGGGUUACUCUAAGGUUUAAAGUGGCCUUAAAAAUAAGUACCCCAAAUACCUGUUCAUCAAACAUCCUUUUGAACUUUUUGCUUUACUCAGAAAAAUAUUACUAAUCAGAUAAAAAUGAACUCUUUCAGAUGAAUAUGAUACUCUAGAUAAUAAUCCCUAAGACUUCUAUAGUGGUUGUUUUAGUAGUUCCUUUGAAGUCUUAAGAAGAGGUGAUAGCAACAUGUAAGUGAAAGGGUGUCAAAUUGGUAGAAGCUAAAAAAGGUUGGGGUUCUGAGUGAUGUCCUCUCAUUUGAAGAAACCUUGAGCAACUCUUUAGGCAACACCUGCUGUGCUGGCAGGCCGAACCUCAGAUCACAUGGUGAUAUUACUGAUUCAUAUGAUCAAGUUCAUACCACCCACAAUACAUUUACACGUAUAGGCUUAACCUUUUAAAUACCUUUGUCGUUUCCUUCCUUCUAAAGCAGUUGUGCACACAGUGCAAUUUACUGAAUGUUGGGAUAGCACAAAAUAUUUGCUCUUUUCACUAAUUUUCUUUUUUUCUCCCUUUUCAACACCCUAAACCUUUUCAAAGAUUCCAGAGGAGUAAAAGCUGCUAUAAUCUUGAUUCACUGUUAUGGGCAAUAGAAUUAUUUUGCUGAUUGCUGGAAUCAUUGUUCGUAUACAUCUGCAUUCUAUGAGCACUUUGGAAAUUAAAGGAUUGCCAGCUUUUCCACUUUGGGACAAAAAACAUUUGUGCUAAACAGCCGGUGUUCCAUGCACAUGUUGGAUGUCACUGAUGCAAGCAAGAAAGUGCAUCCAGUAUGGCCUUGCAGAAAGGAGGACAAUUGGAGCCUGCAUCAGACCACUAUGGACUCCUUGCGGUAAGACAGCCUUUGGCUAUGGUGCACAUUCUUACUAUAAUGCUGAUGCUAUAUUUUAUCCUUCUCAUUCAGUAAAGUGUAGAUUUGUAAGAAUUGUAGUUAAGACUUGUGAGUCUUCUUUAAUGUCUUUUUUUCAGUCUUUUGCAGGGAAAUAAAGACUUUAUCAUCCUAGGUUUGGUAGCUCGGUGUACAAACAAAACAAAAAGCAAAAACUGAAAGCAGGCAGAUUAAUAAGAAAAAGGCAUACAGUUUUAUUAAUUUUUAAUAUGUGCACAAGGGAAUUACAAAAAAAACCUAAAAUCCCCCAAAACCAUUUGAGAGUUCACAUACCAUCUUAAUAGGAAAAGGGAAGAGACAUGUUGGUUACUUAGGAAAGAAUAAAUGAUUUGAGGAAAGAUGAAUGGGUUCUUAGAAGAAUAGAUGAGAGAUAAUGAUAGAUUCAAAGUUUGUUAGUGUGGCGUUAACUUCUAGUUUCUGCUUCUGUAAUAAGAGUUAGUCUUCGUAGUUGAUGAAACUCCUGGGAAGAUGGUUUAUGACAAUUGAGUUUCUUUUGGAGGAUCUGUCUUUAGGAAGGCAAAGGGAGUUCUAAGAAACACUCUCCUUCCAUUUGCUGUUUUUCAAAAUGCCUCAACCUCAAAAUAGUCAGUAUGCUACAACUGUAUAUUUUGGGUAUAUUAUGGGGUGCCAUCUGCUGAACUUCAUCACAGUCAUAUUUAGCGGUGGUAUAUUCUUAUUUAUAACACUUCUUUAGUAUCUAAUUGGCAUAAUUAGUAUGGAGUUCUUAAGUAUAUUUUUGUGCUGGUUUGACAAAACACUAACACAUACACAUAACAUGCUCACCUCAUUAGCCAUUUUACUGGCUAAGCUACUCCUUUUCUUACCCCAUUUUAUGGUGACUUCUACUCUUUACUAUUUCUGAAAUUCACUAUAGUUUUGACUGGGAUCAAAGGUUGAAAAGGCUACUGUUAAGAAACUACAAUUUUGAAGUUGAAAAGAUAAAUACCACAGUUCUGUGUACUACUAGGAAAAUACCAUAGGCCAUUGUAGGAAAUGGCUUUUUAGUGACAAGGCCAAAGAACACAUUUCCAGAGACUCAAAGAGACGUAUUGGUAUUCAAUAUUCCCUCGCCCCUAGGCAGUUCCCCAGUGAAGUUUUCCAUUUUAGACAAAUCUUCUUGUGUUGGUCAUUAAAACAGCGCCAAAGUACUAAAACAUAUAUAGUUGUUUCUUAGUAUCCUAGUUAUUCUCUUUCUGGCUGUCAUUCUCCAUCAGUUUGAACUUAGACAUAAGCAUAUGACUUUUUCUUUCAAUGAAAUGUCACCUAAAGUAAUAUAAGUCACUUUUGG
Sapajus apella (tufted capuchin) is the source of this 2509-nucleotide long non-coding RNA. RefSeq lists it as uncharacterized. The record is from RefSeq and is a predicted model, not a curated record. The transcript is spliced from 3 exons. NCBI's taxonomy places the organism in Eukaryota, Metazoa, Chordata, Mammalia, Primates, Cebidae.